CCUACGGGUGGCUGCAGUGGGGGAUAUUGCACAAUGGGGGAAACCCUGAUGCAGCGACGCCGCGUGUGGGAAGACGGUCCUCUGUAUUGUAAACCACUGUCCCCAGGGACGAAGAUGACGGUACCUGGGGCGGAAGCUCCGGCUAACUACGUGCCAGCAGCCGCGGUAAUACGUAGGGAGCGAGCGUUGUCCGGAAUUACUGGGUGUAAAGGGAGCGUAGGCGGGGAUGCAAGUUGGGGGUCAAAACUACCGGCUCAACUGGUAGUCGCACUCAAAAUUGGAGCUCUUGAGUGAAGUAGAGGCAGGCGGAAUUCCUAGUGUAGCGGUGAAAUGCGUAGAUAUUAGGAGGAACACCAGUGGCGAAGGCGGCCUGCUGGGCUUUUACUGACGCUGAGGCUCGAAAGUGUGGGGAGCAAACAGGAUUAGAUACCCCUGUAGUC
RNAcentral lists this ribosomal RNA (440 nucleotides) under uncultured bacterium. RNAcentral describes it as "partial 16S ribosomal RNA". It matches the Rfam family "Bacterial small subunit ribosomal RNA", at positions 338 to 795 of the family's 1533-position model. The record is from RNAcentral.